GACGAACGCUGGCGGCGUGCUUAACACAUGCAAGUCGAACGGAAAAGGCCCGGCUUUGGGGGGGUGCCGGAGGGGGGAACGGGGGAGUACAACGGGAGUAACUUGCCCUGGCCUUGGGGUUAACUUAAGGAAACUGGGCCAAAAACCGGAAAGGAGUCCUUGCGGAAGGGGGGGGGUGGGAAGGUUUCGGCGGUGGGGGAUGGACUCGCGGCUUAUCAGCUUGUUGGUGGGGUAGUGGCUUACCAAGGCUUUGACGGGUAGCCGGCCUGAGAGGGUGACCGGCCACAUUGGGACUGAGAUACGGCCCAGACUCCUACGGGAGGCAGCAGUGGGGAAUAUUGCACAAUGGGCGGAAGCCUGAUGCAGCAACGCCGCGUGCGGGAUGACGGCCUUCGGGUUGUAAACCGCUUUCGCCUGUGACGAAGCGUGAGUGACGGUAAUGGGUAAAGAAGCACCGGCUAACUACGUG
Molecule: ribosomal RNA, 469 nt
Filed under: uncultured bacterium
Lineage: Bacteria
Description: partial 16S ribosomal RNA
Rfam family: Bacterial small subunit ribosomal RNA
Source: RNAcentral